ACACUUACGAUCGUAGUCAGCUGUCGCCGGUCUCGUCGGUCGCUCGGGCCUCCCUCUACGACAUGCAGCGGUUCGAGCGGGACCCGUACGCGGACAGGGCGCGGUACUCUGCGUUUUGAGUCGGAGGAUGUGACCCCAAAGAGGAAGAAGCUUGGCAGGAAAAUCCCUCCCUGAGGAAGCAGCUCUGGGCUUUCCCCGUACGCUAGGAAUGGCAGAGACUUUUGCCGCGGCCUUGGAGAGCGGCACCCGACGGCCCUCGGAGGCUUGGCGGAGCUCUCGUUCUGGUCGCGUGCGCCGGGGCGGAAGCGUUCGGCCGG
RNAcentral lists this long non-coding RNA (317 nucleotides) under Apteryx rowi (Okarito brown kiwi). RNAcentral's name for it is "lncRNA (ENSARWG00000014665.1)". The record is from RNAcentral. Lineage: Eukaryota; Metazoa; Chordata; Aves; Apterygiformes; Apterygidae.